GACGAACGCUGGCGGCGUGCUUAACACAUGCAAGUCGAACGGAAAGGCCCUGCUUUUGUGGGGUGCUCGAGUGGCGAACGGGUGAGUAACACGUGAGUAACCUGCCCUUGACUUUGGGGUAACUUCAGGAAACUGGGGCUAAUACCGGAUAGGAGCUCCUGCUGCAUGGUGGGGGUUGGAAAGUUUCGGCGGUUGGGGAUGGACUCGCGGCUUAUCAGCUUGUUGGUGGGGUAGUGGCUUACCAAGGCUUUGACGGGUAGCCGGCCUGAGAGGGUGACCGGCCACAUUGGGACUGAGAUACGGCCCAGACUCCUACGGGAGGCAGCAGUGGGGAAUAGUGCACAAUGGGCGGAAGCCUGAUGCAGCAACGCCGCGGGCGGGAUGACGGCCUUCGGGUUGGAAGCCGCUUUCGCCUGUGACGAAGCGGGAGUGACGGUAAUGGGUAAAGAAGCACCGGCUAACUACGUG
This 468-nucleotide ribosomal RNA is filed under the name uncultured bacterium. Its description in RNAcentral is "partial 16S ribosomal RNA". It matches the Rfam family "Bacterial small subunit ribosomal RNA", at positions 28 to 507 of the family's 1533-position model. The record is from RNAcentral.